This 909-nucleotide ribosomal RNA is filed under the name uncultured Erwinia sp. RNAcentral describes it as "bacterial SSU rRNA". It matches the Rfam family "Bacterial small subunit ribosomal RNA", at positions 594 to 1501 of the family's 1533-position model. The record is from RNAcentral. Lineage: Bacteria; Pseudomonadati; Pseudomonadota; Gammaproteobacteria; Enterobacterales; Erwiniaceae.
GUGAAAUCCCCGGGCUUAGCCGGGGAACUACAUUUGGAACUGGCAGGUUAGAGUCUUGUAGAGGGGGGUAGAAUUCCAGUUGUAGCGGUGAAAUGCGUAGAGAUCUGGAGGAAUACCGGUGGCGAAGGCGGCCCCCUGGACAAAGACUGACGCUCAGGUGCGAAAGCGUGGAGAGCAAACAGGAUUAGAUACCCUGGUAGUCCACGCCGUAAACGAUGUCGACUUGGAGGUUGUGCCCUUGAGGCGUGGCUUCCGGAGCUAACGCGUUAAGUCGACCGCCUGGGGAGUACGGCCGCAAGGUUAAAACUCAAAUGAAUUGACGGGGGCCCGCACAAAGCGGUGGAGCAUGUGGUUUAAUUCGAUGCAACGCGAAGAACCUUACCUGGCCUUGACAUCCACGGAAUUCGGCAGAGAUGCCUUAGUGCCUUCGGGAACCGUGAGACAGGUGCUGCAUGGCUGUCGUCAGCUCGUGUUGUGAAAUGUUGGGUUAAGUCCCGCAACGAGCGCAACCCUUAUCCUUUGUUGCCAGCGCGUGAUGGCGGGAACUCAAAGGAGACUGCCGGUGACAAACCGGAGGAAGGUGGGGAUGACGUCAAGUCAUCAUGGCCCUUACGGCCAGGGCUACACACGUGCUACAAUGGCGCAUACAAAGAGAAGCGACCUCGCGAGAGCAAGCGGACCUCAUAAAGUGCGUCGUAGUCCGGAUCGGAGUCUGCAACUCGACUCCGUGAAGUCGGAAUCGCUAGUAAUCGUAGAUCAGAACGCUACGGUGAAUACGUUCCCGGGCCUUGUACACACCGCCCGUCACACCAUGGGAGUGGGUUGCAAAAGAAGUAGGUAGCUUAACCUCCGGGAGGGCGCUUACCACUUUGUGAUUCAUGACUGGGGUGAAGUCGUAACAAGGUAACC